GUGGUGGUGCCCCUAACGGUGGCUGUGUGCGGUGGUGGUGUUGUUGGCGGUGGUUGUUGGUAGUAGUGAUUUGGGUGGAAACGGUGGUUGUUAGUUGUGGUGAUUUUUGUUGGCAAUGGUGUUGGAUCUAGUGGUGGCGACAUUGUUGGUGGCGGUGGUGGUGGUGACCAUUUGGUUGCUCUGUGACUAAGCAUUGGUGGUGAAUUGGGUUUGGCAGUGGAGUAUUUGGUAUAUGUGACCAAUGAUUUGGCAUGUGAUCUUAAAAUUUGACAAUCUGUG
RNAcentral lists this long non-coding RNA (279 nucleotides) under Olea europaea (common olive). RNAcentral describes it as "long non-coding RNA (OEUR_LNC012912)". The record is from RNAcentral. Lineage: Eukaryota; Viridiplantae; Streptophyta; Magnoliopsida; Lamiales; Oleaceae.